RNAcentral lists this ribosomal RNA (590 nucleotides) under uncultured bacterium. RNAcentral's name for it is "bacterial SSU rRNA". It matches the Rfam family "Bacterial small subunit ribosomal RNA", at positions 134 to 745 of the family's 1533-position model. The record is from RNAcentral.
UAGUUCGGGAUAGCCACUGGAAACGGUGAUUAAUACCGGAUACUCCUUCUUGUUAUAAGACAAGUCGGGAAAGUUUUUCGCUAAGGGAUCAGUCUAUGUUCCAUCAGCUUGUUGGUGAGGUAAUGGCUCACCAAGGCUAUGACGGAUAUCUGGUUUGAGAGGAUGAUCAGACACACUGGAACUGAGACACGGUCCAGACUCCUACGGGAGGCAGCAGUGAGGAAUAUUGCACAAUGGAGGAAACUCUGAUGCAGCAACGCCGCGUGGAGGAUGACGCAUUUCGGUGUGUAAACUCCUCUUAUUAGGGAAGAUAAUGACGGUACCUAAUGAAUAAGCACCGGCUAACUCCGUGCCAGCAGCCGCGGUAAUACGGAGGGUGCAAGCGUUACUCGGAAUCACUGGGCGUAAAGGGUGCGUAGGCUGGCUUUUAAGUCAGAUGUGAAAUCCAAUGGCUCAACCAUUGAACUGCAUUUGAAACUGAAAGCCUAGAGUUCAGAAGGGGCAGAUGGAAUUAGUGGUGUAGGGGUAAAAUCCGUAGAUAUCACUAGGAAUAUCAAAAGCGAAGGCGAUCUGCUGGGAUGAUACUGACG